This is a small nuclear RNA of Mustela putorius furo (domestic ferret), 104 nucleotides long. Lineage: Eukaryota; Metazoa; Chordata; Mammalia; Carnivora; Mustelidae. The record is from Ensembl.
GUGCUUGCUUCAGGAGCCCAUAUGAUAAAAUUAAAACGAGACAGAGAUCUGCAUGGUCCCCCUGCAGGGAUGAUUCACAAAAUCAAGAAGCAUGCCACGUUUUU